GGUCUUAUAGUUUAAUAAAAAUAUUAGAUUGCAAAUCUUAAGUUGUUCUAUUUCUAAGACUU
Molecule: transfer RNA, 62 nt
Filed under: Bolanusoides shaanxiensis
Lineage: Eukaryota; Metazoa; Arthropoda; Insecta; Hemiptera; Cicadellidae
Description: tRNA-Cys
Rfam family: tRNA
About the family: Transfer RNA (tRNA) molecules are approximately 80 nucleotides in length. Their secondary structure includes four short double-helical elements and three loops (D, anti-codon, and T loops).
Source: RNAcentral